UGUGGGAGCGGGCUUGCUCGCGAAGGCGGUGGACCUGCUGGCAUAUAUGUUGGCUGUGCCGACGUCUUCGCGAGCAAGCCCGCUCCCACA
RNAcentral lists this unclassified non-coding RNA (90 nucleotides) under Pseudomonas kilonensis. The record is from RNAcentral. Lineage: Bacteria; Pseudomonadati; Pseudomonadota; Gammaproteobacteria; Pseudomonadales; Pseudomonadaceae.